Molecule: unclassified non-coding RNA, 153 nt
Organism: Macaca mulatta (Rhesus monkey)
Lineage: Eukaryota; Metazoa; Chordata; Mammalia; Primates; Cercopithecidae
Rfam family: Metazoan signal recognition particle RNA
About the family: The signal recognition particle (SRP) is a universally conserved ribonucleoprotein. It is involved in the co-translational targeting of proteins to membranes.
Source: Ensembl
GCUGGGUAUGGUGGCACAUGCCUGUAGUCCCAGCUACUCGGGAGGCUGAGGUAGGAGGAUCACUUGAGCCUGGGAGGUUGAGGUUGCAGUGAGCCAAGCUGAGAUCACAGCACUGCACUCCAGCCUGGGCAACAAAGUGAGACCCUGUCUCAA